CACCACUCUCGGAUUCAGAAGAAUGAGAAGAAGAGGAAUUCACAACCAAUACUAGAAGCGAGAAGUUAAAAGCAUUAACUGGAAACAAGCUAUUCUUCAUCGUCGUCGCCAUCUCCGGUCUUUUGGAUAUUUAGCUCUUUUCGUGUUCUGAGGAAAAAUCGACUUUAUAUGAUACUUCUUUCCAUAUUGGAAGCAUGUUGGCAUAAACUAAGAUUGUUCUCCAUUUUUGUGUUGAAAGUUUUGUUGUUUGUCGUGUUUCGUGACUUCUUAAACUUUAUGACUAAGAAAUUCAUCUCUUCAUUAGUUUUUUAAUUUCAUUCUUCAAUGUUGAGUGCAA
Molecule: long non-coding RNA, 337 nt
Organism: Lathyrus oleraceus (garden pea)
Lineage: Eukaryota; Viridiplantae; Streptophyta; Magnoliopsida; Fabales; Fabaceae
Exons: 2
Source: RefSeq, a predicted model, not a curated record